Molecule: ribosomal RNA, 554 nt
Filed under: Pilumnus dasypodus
Lineage: Eukaryota; Metazoa; Arthropoda; Malacostraca; Decapoda; Pilumnidae
Description: partial 16S ribosomal RNA
Rfam family: Bacterial large subunit ribosomal RNA
Source: RNAcentral
AAAAACAUGUCUAUUUGGUAGAUAAAAAUAGUCUGACCUGCUCACUGAUAAAUAAAUUAAAGAGCCGCGGUAUAUUGACCGUGCAAAGGUAGCAUAAUCAUUAGUUUUUUAAUUGGAAACUUGUAUGAAUGGUUGGACAAAAGAAAAGCUGUCUAUAUUACAAAUAUUGAAUUUAACUUUUAAGUGAAAAGGCUUAAAUAAUUUAAAGGGACGAUAAGACCCUAUAAAACUUUAUAUGUUAGUAAAAUUUAAUUAAAUUAUAAAAGUUUAAUUUUACGUUGUAUUUUAUUGGGGCGAUAAAGGUAUAAUUUUUAUAACUGCUUAUAAUAGAAACAAUGAUAUUUGAGUAAUUAAUAAAUGAUCCUUUUUAAAGAUUAAAAGACUAAGUUACUUUAGGGAUAACAGCGUAAUUUCUUUUGAGAGCCCAUAUCGAAAAAGAAGAUUGCGACCUCGAUGUUGAAUUAAAAUAUCUAUUAAAGGCAGCCCUUUAAUAAGAAGAUCUGUUCGAUCUUUAAAUUUUUACAUGAUUUGAGUUCAAACCGGCGUGAGCCAGG